Molecule: transfer RNA, 74 nt
Filed under: Clostridia bacterium
Lineage: Bacteria; Bacillati; Bacillota; Clostridia
Also listed under: 4 other names
Description: tRNA-Gly
Rfam family: tRNA
About the family: Transfer RNA (tRNA) molecules are approximately 80 nucleotides in length. Their secondary structure includes four short double-helical elements and three loops (D, anti-codon, and T loops).
Source: RNAcentral
GCGGGUGUAACUCAAUGGCAGAGCGCCAGCCUUCCAAGCUGGAUACGUGGGUUCGAUUCCCAUCACCCGCUCCA